This is a long non-coding RNA of Oncorhynchus tshawytscha (Chinook salmon), 530 nucleotides long. The record is from Ensembl. NCBI's taxonomy places the organism in Eukaryota, Metazoa, Chordata, Actinopteri, Salmoniformes, Salmonidae.
GGAAAAUCAUCUUGUUCUUCUUGGAGUUUAUUCACAAGGUUUGUCAUAUGAUUUCCAGGAGCCUGGUGGAGAUGGACACAACCAUAAUCCAAGCAGUAAUGGAAAAAGUGUUAGUGACAGAAUGACCCAAGAACCUCCAGACCCUUCUGACCAACUACCUGUGAUCUCUCCAGAGCACAGAGAAGAUGUCGGCGGGUGGAGCCGGGAGGAUCGUCAGCGAGAUGGGUCACACCUGGGCCCGGGUGUGUCCCGGGAUAAAUACACCUCUUCCCCGUUCAUUGAGGAGCUCUCUCCAUGCAUACACGCUGUUAGAGUUUGGUUGUGGCCGGUUGCUUGCUUUGGCAUCUUUCAACACUCCUCAUUAUCACAUCUAUACAUGCAACCACUCACUUACACAACUGAUUACACACACCAUUGUUAAUUUUAUAUAGGUUACCUCAGUUAAUAAAUAUAUUUUUGUUAUUCCUUAUCUACACAUUGUCUCCCUUUUUGUUAUGGGCUUUGAGCCGGUUCGUGACAAGCGGAGGCUU